GAUGAACGCUGGCGGCGUGCCUAACACAUGCAAGUCGAACGGAGAUUACGGACGGAAGUUUUCGGAUGGAAGACUGUAAUUCUUAGUGGCGGACGGGUGAGUAACGCGUGGGCAACCUGCCCUAUACAGGGGGAUAGCAGCUGGAAACGGCUGGUAAGACCGCAUAAGUCGGCGAGACCGCAUGGUUUUGCCGGGAAAUGAGCAAUCAGGUAUAGGAUGGGCCCGCGUCCGAUUAGCCAGUUGGCAGGGUAAAAGCCUACCAAAGCAACGAUCGGUAGCCGGACUGAGAGGACGGACGGCCACAUUGGGACUGAGACACGGCCCAAACUCCUACGGGAGGCAGCAGUGGGGGAUAUUGCACAAUGGAGGAAACUCUGAUGCAGCGACGCCGCGUGAGUGAAGAAGUAUUUCGGUAUGUAAAGCUCUAUCAGCAGGGAAGAUGAUGACGGUACCUGACUAAGAAGCCCCGGCUAACUACGUG
RNAcentral lists this ribosomal RNA (481 nucleotides) under uncultured bacterium. Its description in RNAcentral is "partial 16S ribosomal RNA". It matches the Rfam family "Bacterial small subunit ribosomal RNA", at positions 28 to 507 of the family's 1533-position model. The record is from RNAcentral.